UCAUAUUAAUGUGUAAAGUCACUGUUGAUACAUGUCUACUGAAUGCCAGGUCAUAUUAAUGUGUAAAGUGACUGUGGAUACAUGUCUACUGAAUGCCAGGUCAUAUUAAUGUGUAAAGUCACUGUUGAUACAUGUCUACUGAAUGCCAGGUCAUAUUAAUGUGUAAAGUCACUGUUGAUACAUGUCUACUGAAUGCCAGGUCAUAUUAAUGUGUAAAGUCACUGUUGAUACAUGUCUACUGAAUGCCAGGUCAUAUUAAUGUGUAAAGUCACUGUUGAUACAUGUCUACUGAAUGCCAGGUCAUAUUAAUGUGUAAAGUCACUGUUGAUACAUGUCUACUGAAUGCCAGGUCAUAUUAAUGUGUAAAGUCACUGUUGAUACAUGUCUACUGAAUGCCAGGUCAUAUUAAUGUGUAAAGUCACUGUUGAUACAUGUCUACUGAAUGCCAGGUCAUAUUAAUGUGUAAAGUCACUGUUGAUACAUGUCUACUGAAUGCCAGGUCAUAUUAAUGUGUAAAGUCACUGUUGAUACAUGUCUACUGAAUGCCAGGUCAUAUUAAUGUGUAAAGUCACUGUUGAUACAUGUCUACUGAAUGCCAGGUCAUAUUAAUGUGUAAAGUCACUGUUGAUACAUGUCUACUGAAU
Long non-coding RNA from Oncorhynchus keta (chum salmon), 644 nucleotides. RefSeq lists it as uncharacterized. The record is from RefSeq and is a predicted model, not a curated record. The transcript is spliced from 4 exons. NCBI's taxonomy places the organism in Eukaryota, Metazoa, Chordata, Actinopteri, Salmoniformes, Salmonidae.